CUUUCGAUAAGCAAUUUUAAGACAUUCUACUGACAUGCCAAUGUCCUACUCAUUAAAAUAAUUUUUUUUUGAGAUGGAGUGUCGCACUUGUUGCCCAGCUGCUGUGCAAUGACGCGAUGUCUGCUCAGUGCAACCUCUGCCUCCCGGGUUCAAGCAAUUCCCCUGCCUCAGCUUCUCAAGCAGCUGGGAUUACAGAGUCUUGCUGUGUCACCCACGCUGGAGUGUAAUGGUGUGAUCUUGUCUCGCUGUAGCCUCAACCUCCUGGGCUCAAGCAAUCUGCCUGCCUCAGCCUCCUGAGUAGCUGGAACUACAGGCGUGUAUCACUAUACCUGGCUUAAAUUUUUGUAGAGAUAGGGUAUUGCCUUGUUGCUCAAGCUAGUCUCAAACUCCCAGUCUCAAGCAAUUCUCCCACCUCAGCUUCCAGAAGUGUUGAAUUACAGGCGUGAGCCACUACUCUCGGCCCCCAAAUUCUUAAGUAUUACUUAGACUAUCUCUGAAAAGUAGCAGAUCAGUUCACAACUUCACUGUAAGCUCAGAACAGAUGAUCAAGUCUUCUAUUUGCAGUAUGUGUUUGCAGUCCCCUACCUGCUUUCCAAGGAGGCAUGGUCACUUGGUGUAGUACGUGAAAAAGGAAAAGGGGGAGCUUCUUAAGAAUGGCAAAAACAACUUAAAUUUUUUGUUAAAAUGUAUCAGAAUCUAUAAAUUUAUAUGUCAAGUGUUUUUUUCCCCAAAAUGUUAAAUCUAAACUCCAAAAUUACUUGGUUAUGUAAUAGUAAUACAAUUAAAAUUUCUCUAAAAAAAAUUAUUAUUCAUGUAUACUGAUCAUUCUCACCUGUGAAAUAAGCUAGUCAUGCAAUUAGUAAAGUUUAUAAACAUGCUGUGAGAAUCACAGUUGUGGUUCUUUAAAGCAAGGACUAAGAAAUGUUUUCAGAAAGAAUAUUUAAUAAAUUAAUUCAUUAAUUAAUAGACAUAGGAAGAUUAGUAUGUGUUUUCAGCCUUUUUACAAGUAACUUAAUUGAAAACUUAAGAAAAAAAUUUUUGUGUUCUUUAUGGUUACAAACUUGUCAUAAAAUAUAACAAAUAAAGCUAAAUUUAGCGGGGCAUGGUGGCUCAUGCCUAUAAUCCCAGCACUUUGACAGGCCAAGGCAAGAGAAUCACUUGAGGUCAGAGGUUCAAGACCAGCCUGGACAACAUAGUGAGACUCUGUCUUUAAUUUAAAAAUAUACUUAUUAAAAUACAGUAAUAUAAUUUUUAAAAAAUUAAAGCAAAAUGUACCUAUUCACUUUAUAUUACAUCAUACAUCCCCUUAAAUCACUCAAUUUACAACAUAAAAUAGGCUGGGCAUAGUGGCUCAUAUCUGUAAUCCCAGCACUUUGGGAGGCCAAGGUGGGCAGAUCACUUGAGGCCAUGAGUUCAAGACCAGCCUGGACAAUAUGGCAAAACCCCAUCUCUACUAAAAAUAGAAAAAUCAACCGGGCAUGGUGGCGCACGCCUGUAAUCCCAGCUACUUGGGAGGCUGAGGCAUGAGAAUCGCUAGAACCCAGGAGAUGGAGGUUGCAGGGAGCCAAGAUCAUGUCACUGUACUCCAGUAAAAGAGCGAGACUCUGUCACAAAAAAUAAAUAUUUAAAAAAAACCUUAUUUAUAGGAAUUUCAAUACUUAUUUUUGGAUAAUUUUAUUAAGGCUACAGACUCUGGCUACUGGGAAAAAAAAUCAAAGAAAAAUAUACAUGCAUUCAUUAUGUGUAAAGACUGUUGAUAUAUAAAACAUAAAGAAUGCAAUUUUUUGAAAUAAACAAUAAUUACUACUCAUAGUAUGUAGGUAAUGAAACUACUAAAAAAUAAUUUUAAAAAAUAAAAGGGGAAAAAAACCAUAGUUCAUACAAAUCCACAGCAAUGAUGAAGAAUCAGGAAUAUAAUCAAUUUAAUGUUUGUCGAAAUAAAUAUUGAAUGUGGACUAAGUCUUAAUGACCAGAAAAUAGCCCAAAAAAAGUAAAUUAACUGGUUUUAAAUCAACAAACUAUACAGAUAUAAAUCAAUCAUUCAAAAGAAAUGAAACAUUGAUUUAUCUUCCUUCCUAGGAUUCUUUGUAUUUCAGCUGAUUUGCAUUCUAAAUCUUCAGAUGGAUGCAAAUGCGCAAUGUGAGGACCCUUUGACAGAAACACAGAAUAUUUAGGUACUUGUACUGACCGGCUCAGAGUCAUAGCAAUAAUCAUCCCAGCUCUGUCUGAGGGGUUUCUUUGUUAUCUGAAAGUAAGGCAGAUUAGUUAGGUAGAAGUAAUGGUUAUUAUACUCUUCUAAUGAUCUCUUAGAUGUGGUGUGCAAGUAGUACUGCUGCUCUCCAUUGAAAAGUUAUUUUGCAUAGCAGCAUAAAACAAGAAAUAAUGAAGCAAAUAUUCACAUGCUGGGAGACUGUAUACUGUACUACCGAACGCAUAUAUACCAUGGGCUCCAGUGACUGUUAUUUAUAUAAACUGAGUCCCAUAUCCUAUGAAUAUUGACAUUAUGACAGGAAUAUAUUAUGGUCAUUAAUUACAAAAAGAUCUGAAAGAACAGCAAAAUUCCAGACUUCUCUAAUACUAACAACUAUCAGCUCAUUUAUGAGAGAAUAUUACUUUAUAAAAAAGAAAAUCUUUAAUCACCCAAAUAUAAUGCAAAUAGUUUAAACUGGGGAGGAAAAAACUCAGAAGCUGAAUUAGCAAAUAUUUUUGAAAAGCUAUUUAAUUCUAUGUGUAAAAAUUAAUAAUAUUAUAUCAGAAAUGGAUACUUUAAAUAACUUGGAAUUCUCAAUAUAUUAAUACAAAGUCAUUAGUUUAUAUUAAUAUAGGUAGUUUCAAAAUUAAGAAAUAACAGUUAAUACAACACACUGUAUUAACUUGGAGAAAGCCAAAGGUAUAACUUUCUUUUUUUCUUUUUUUUGAGACGGAGUCUCGCUCUGUUGCCCAGGCUGGAGUGCGGUGGCACAAUCUUGGCUCACUGCAACCUCUGCCUCCCGGGUUGAAGCGAUUCUCGUGCCUCGGCCUCCCAAGCAGCUGAGAUUACAGGCGUGCCUCACCACACCUAGCUAAUUUUUUUGUGUUUUUAGCAGAGACAAGGUUUCACGAUGUUGGCCAGGCUGGUCUCGAACUCCUGACCUCAGGUGAUUCAACUGCCUCAGCUUACCAAAGUACUGGGAUUACAGGUGUGAGCCACUGCACUCAGCCAAAGAUGUAACUUUCAUAACCCUAAAUAUAUACUGCUAUCUGAACCAUCAUCAAAGUGUCAAUUUGUUUACAAAAGCUUCGUAAGGAUUUUUUUAAUGGUCAUAAAGGGAUUUAUUUCCGUAGACAUUACAUCUUGCCUCCAACAAUGGAAAAAUAAGGGGAGACAUCUAUUAUUUAAAUGACCUAUUGUUUUACUAAUUCCAUUAGUGCUGGUUGUAAAAUUUCUGUUAUUAUGAGAAAUAAUAAAAUUAGUAAAGUCAAUGUAAUGAAAAGUAAGAAUUACUCCUCAAUGUGGAAGUUUAGGGAUGAAUUUUGAGUUUUGAGGAAAGAUCCAAAUUCUCUAAGUCAUUUGCCUUUGAUGACCUUCAUACUGAAUAUUUAAGAAGAUUGUUCAUUAAAUUAUAAAAAUAGUCAUACUCUAAGUCAGUGUCAUAGUAUCAUGCAAAGACGUAUGUGUAUGAGACUUCAAAACAUGCAAAUUAGGUUUCAAGUAAUCCCUUGCAAAGGACAAGAAUUAAUCAUUAGUAACAUUUAAUAUCCUGGGGGUUGUAAAAGGUAAAUCACUUUAGUAAAAGUAAAGCAUUUUUCUAAUACAGUAGAAAUAUCAAUAAACAGCUUAUUAUUAUUUUCCCAAAGAAUCUCACAGAAAACGAAAAGCACAUAUAUUAUCUGAGCUUUUAACAUUUAUAUGAGGAUGGUAAUCAUCCUCAAAUUUGAGAACUGCAUCACCUAAAUUUGUAGAGUACAUAUAUGAAAAUGCUAGCUAAUCCAUUCCUAGGUUUGAGAAAGUACUAGAAAAAAGACAUUUUUCAAGCAUUAAAUUUAAUACUGCCCUAUACUUCAAAAUGCUUUUUAUGAACUCUCACCUGAUUGAGAUAAUGAUAUUCCUCUGGUUGCUUAAGAUGGAAUGCUGAUCUCUCAUCUUCACUUGCUCCUGCCAGGAGGUAAUAGAAUACAUGAUAGUUCCUGUGGGAAACAAAGAAGUACAAGUUUCAUAAUGUGUGACUUAUGGUUAUCAUUUAACAGGGGGAGGGGGGAAGCAAACAGUAAUUAGUAAAAUGUAUCAGCUUUGCUUCAUUUUUUAAUAUAAAUGUGAUAAAUUCAGCGUUUAAGUACUCCUAAAAAUUGAAUGAUGUUUUGGAUGUGGAAUACAAAAGAGAGGGAUGAAGGCAGCAAAGUUAACAAAGUUAGGACCUCUGAAAAUUCUCUUCUCCAUAAAACCAAUGAGAAAUCUGGCAAAUCUGUCAUAAUUAACCUUUUCAGAACUGUGGAAACUAAUCGAAAGCUUGCAACAACCCAGAGAGUGUUUACUCAAUAAAAAGAGCUAAAUCUCAAUAAAAAUGGCUUUGUAGUGUUUUAAACUUGCCCUAUUCCAUCCCCUUGAAAACCAACAGCCUGCAAACUUGGAGAUGAGAAGCCUGACAGCUACCAGAAAGGUCAGAACAGAGUUUGAGCUUGUUCAAAGCCUCAUUCCCUAAGAAAUAUCAUUAUUUGAACUGUCUGGUGGUUCUCUGUGAACAGCCAUAUUCAAGGCUGACUCUACAAGAUUCAAUUCGGACUUCAUAUCAUGCAAAGAUCUUUUCCCCAGAGGCAUCCAUAGAAACUGAGGCAAUCGCUGAACAGCCUACUUCCUAAAGCAGUGGAUCAAAGUUGGGGCAAACAAUAGGCUAACCAAGAAACUUAAAAGGAAAAGCUGGCUUUGAAAACCUCCAGUAAAUGUCCUGGGAAUCUAGAAGGUCAUAUGCAUGCAUAAUGCUGUGGACAUGCCCAGGGUUGUGUGUGCUCUCAGAAAAAUAACAGAUGAAAUAUAAACUCUCACCUCUGGUUAACUUUGAAACCCUGCACAAGCAGAAAAUAAAGGCUAAGGUAGAUUUGUGAAAUACCUAGCUGAGUGUUGAAGGCAUGGAACAAUAUACAUAGAGAGCCCUGUGGCAAAGAGUGAGAGACUUACUUAUUGUUUCCAAGCAUUUAAAUAAAUAUCUGUCCAGUUAUUACCUGACAUCUAAGUUAAAUAAGCAGA
Molecule: long non-coding RNA, 5221 nt
Filed under: Homo sapiens (human)
Lineage: Eukaryota; Metazoa; Chordata; Mammalia; Primates; Hominidae
Description: PREDICTED lncRNA (TCONS_00084966)
Source: RNAcentral